CCUACGGGAGGCAGCAGUGGGGAAUUUUGGACAAUGGACGCAAGUCUGAUCCAGCCAUGCCGCGUGCGGGAAGAAGGCCUUCGGGUUGUAAACCGCUUUUGUCAGGGAAGAAAAGUCUCGAGCUAAUAACUUGGGAUGAUGACGGUACCUGAAGAAUAAGCACCGGCUAACUACGUGCCAGCAGCCGCGGUAAUACGUAGGGUGCAAGCGUUAAUCGGAAUUACUGGGCGUAAAGCGUGCGCAGGCGGUUCUAUAAGACAGAUGUGAAAUCCCCGGGCUCAACCUGGGAACUGCAUUUGUGACUGUAGAGCUGGAGUACGGCAGAGGGGGAUGGAAUUCCGCGUGUAGCAGUGAAAUGCGUAGAUAUGCGGAGGAACACCGAUGGCGAAGGCAAUCCCCUGGGCCUGUACUGACGCUCAUGCACGAAAGCGUGGGGAGCAAACAGGAUUAGAUACCCUGGUAGUCCACGCCCUAAACGAUGUCAACUGGUUGUUGGGAAGGUUCCUUCUCAGUAACGUAGCUAACGCGUGAAGUUGACCGCCUGGGGGAGGUACGGCCGCGAGUAGAACGUACGAAAGAAAGUUAGACGGCGUGAGACGUGACCGACGGACGACGACGAGGGAGGAGG
Molecule: ribosomal RNA, 628 nt
Filed under: uncultured bacterium
Lineage: Bacteria
Description: bacterial SSU rRNA
Rfam family: Bacterial small subunit ribosomal RNA (bases 1-542)
Source: RNAcentral